UUCGAGGUUGCCCACGAGCGUGGGAAUAU
RNAcentral lists this small RNA (29 nucleotides) under Bombyx mori (domestic silkworm). Its description in RNAcentral is "ovarian small RNA-37385". Lineage: Eukaryota; Metazoa; Arthropoda; Insecta; Lepidoptera; Bombycidae. The record is from RNAcentral.